AUGGCGGCGCCGGGCGGGCCGCUGAUGGUCGUGCUCAAGGAGGGUCGGCGGACGUCUCCAUCCUUCAAGGUGCAGGUCCUCGGUGGCGGCGGCAAGGAGUGGAAGGUGACGGACGACAUCGGCGAAACAACGCUCUUCAUUGGGGGGAACGGUUCCUUCUGCGUGUCCACGAGGGAGCACCCGGAGCUCAGGGCCGGCUGCGUCUACUACACCGAGGACGAUCCGGGGCUAUACAAGGAUGCUCGCGACCGCUACUACAAUGGCAUUAAUUGGGGUAUUCACCCUCAAGGAUGGCAGCCGGGAGAAGGUCGAGGGCCUUGCGCUGGUCGCCACCAGUGUGGUUCAUGCCUUCCAUCCCAUUGUGAUGGAUACUGUGACUGA
This 381-nucleotide ribosomal RNA is filed under the name Triticum aestivum (bread wheat). RNAcentral describes it as "partial small subunit ribosomal RNA". The record is from RNAcentral. Lineage: Eukaryota; Viridiplantae; Streptophyta; Magnoliopsida; Poales; Poaceae.